Gossypium raimondii (Peruvian cotton) is the source of this 106-nucleotide non-coding RNA. NCBI's taxonomy places the organism in Eukaryota, Viridiplantae, Streptophyta, Magnoliopsida, Malvales, Malvaceae. The record is from Rfam.
AAUCCAUGGUGCGAGCAUUUUUGAAUUAACAUUUUAAAAUGUUCCCUUGCCUCAUAGAAACUUCUCCCUCCAUCUAUCUAAAAAUAGCAAUCUCUCUUCUUAGUUG